GUUUAAAGGAUCUCAAUUGUCAAUUUAGCUCAGCUCUGAUUGUUCUGAUUAUGAUAGAGUUGGAUAACAAACCUCCAUUACAAUCUAAAUCAAUGGAAGAGCAAUUUCAUCAAAGGCAGCCCAAAAGUGGUAUAGGUACCAAAACAGGCAUAUCAAUGAUGUGAAAACAUACUAGUUCCUCAUCGCAACCUAAUCAAAUCGAAGAAAAUCUUGUUUUAUUAGAUUCUAUUGUACAUACUUCCAUUACAGCUUUACCAUCAUAAUGCUGUAAUUGAUAGCAAAACUACACCAUGGAAGACGGAAAAUUAGUGAUAUUGCUGGGAACUCAAUACCAUAUAAAAAGAUGACAACAUUAGACAAUUCUCCGCAUCUAAACAAACACAAGCGAGAUUUCACAGCCGGAACUAACAAAUUCUUUCAUUUUCACUUGGUGACGAUGUCUGCCUUCCACCCUAAAACUUGAAAUCCUUUUUCUUUGAUUUCCCUUCCUUUUCCUGCAUCUUUCGCUUCCUUUUCUUCUCAUUCUGCAGCAAAAAUAGCUCAUUAUAAAUAGCCAAUAAAAUCAUUGUCAUGUAGUUGAAUCAUAGAAAAAGAAUAGCUAGUGGCCUGCUAGGAUAUCAAAACACUAGACAGUGGAUCUCAAGAACUGGUUUAUCUGCAGCAAUAGCACUAAUAUACUUGGAGCAAUCUGUAAUCAGACGGUUGCAAGCAAAAAUCAUUAACUUGGCAAGCAUGUAAAUGUAACAUACCUCUGCAACCAUAUCACUGAAAUCCUCGCGUUGGCUACGCAUUUUCUCCUCCUCUCUUGCUUCCUCGUACUUUGCAGGCAAAACAUUGUCCAAAGCGUCCAAUUCCUCAGGUUGUAAAGUGACAUCAACUCUAUCUGUUUUCUGGCCUCGAAGAAGAUCAACCCUUUUAGCUGCUGACUUGUCUUGAGUGCCACUGGCAACCACAUACGUGUGGGUUGUUCCAAGUAAAGUCCCUGGAGCAAUCCUCUCUUCUUUUUCUUCAAGAACUUGGUAAAGAGGCCUCUCAGGUUCCUUUCUUUGCUGCUUACGGAGGUCAAUGACAUCUGGUGUUUCAACACCAGUUGGUGUGCUCGAGAGGCUAUCCACAGAUUGAAUGCCAUCCUCCAACUCCUCUUCCUCAAGCUGUUCCUCCUCUUCCUCUUCUUCCUCCUCCUCCUCUUCCUCCAAGUCACCCCAGUGCUUGGUUUUAUCAACUGGCUCU
This 1230-nucleotide unclassified non-coding RNA is filed under the name Hevea brasiliensis (rubber tree). Lineage: Eukaryota; Viridiplantae; Streptophyta; Magnoliopsida; Malpighiales; Euphorbiaceae. The record is from RNAcentral.